GUGUAUAUGGUGUAAUAAACACAUUAGCUUUUCAUGCUAAAAAUAUAGCUUAUAUUAUACACA
This 63-nucleotide transfer RNA is filed under the name Eisenia nordenskioldi pallida. RNAcentral's name for it is "tRNA-Glu". It matches the Rfam family "tRNA". From Rfam's summary of the family: Transfer RNA (tRNA) molecules are approximately 80 nucleotides in length. Their secondary structure includes four short double-helical elements and three loops (D, anti-codon, and T loops). The record is from RNAcentral. Lineage: Eukaryota; Metazoa; Annelida; Clitellata; Crassiclitellata; Lumbricidae.